UCUACGGGAGGCAGCAGUGGGGAAUAUUGGACAAUGGGCGCAAGCCUGAUCCAGCAAUGCCGCGUGAGUGAUGAAGGCCUUCGGGUUGUAAAGCUCUUUCGCACGCGACGAUGAUGACGGUAGCGUGAGAAGAAGCCCCGGCUAACUUCGUGCCAGCAGCCGCGGUAAUA
This 170-nucleotide ribosomal RNA is filed under the name uncultured Alphaproteobacteria bacterium. RNAcentral's name for it is "partial 16S ribosomal RNA". It matches the Rfam family "Bacterial small subunit ribosomal RNA", at positions 338 to 525 of the family's 1533-position model. Lineage: Bacteria; Pseudomonadati; Pseudomonadota; Alphaproteobacteria. The record is from RNAcentral.